UUUCUUUCUUAAACCCAAAUUUAUUUGCUUUUGUUGUUUAAGAGCCCUCUCCGCUCUCUUUCUUUGGAGUGUCUCAAUCCUCAAUUGCUCUCUUAGGUCAUCAACAGUUGCCCUGUCAUCACUGGUCCCUGGAUCGCUUGCCCCUGUCACAGUGGCUUCUUCACUUGCUGCCCCUGACUGACUGUCCCUUGGAGCUUCGAGGACCUCACCAACGUCUACCUGUGGGCUGCCUACUCCUAUUUGCUCUGCCUCAAUUUCUGCCUCAUUUUCUGUAAUAAUGACAUGGUAUUGUUUCAGUUAUGCAUUUGCUUCCUUUACAUCACCACCUUCUUUCAUGUCCUGUUUCAAGGGAUAGUUCGCCCUGAUUUGACUAGUGUUGUUUGUUUUCAAAAGUCAGUGUGGUUUAUCAGCUGCUACUCAACCCCCCCCAGGAGUCCUGUGAGCGUGGUCCUGAACAGGUUUUGAUGUUACAGAAAGUAGUUCCAUGUAGUUGAAACUGAGAACUAAAGAACUGCGCUCACAGGACUCUGUGGGCAGUGAGUCGCAGCUGUUGAACCACACUGACUGUGGGAAACAAACAAAACCCUUGUCAAAUCAGGGCCAACUAUUCCUUAAAUCCAAAUUUUUCUUUACAAAUAGAUCAAGAUGCCUGUAGAGACAACUGUGUAUCAUAGCAAAAUCAUUUCUUGUACAGUAGUUGUGGUCAUCGCUUGGCAAGUGAACCUCUGUUGAAGACGUGUGCCGUUCGGGAGCUCUCCUUCUCUUUGGCCUUUGACGAUAGCAAAAUAAGGUGGGUACGGCAUCAGGUUUUAAGCUGAGGCGUCCUUUUUUUGUACAAAUAAAUUGACUGUCCUCAAAAUGCACCUGCAGGGAGACUCUUAAAAUCAGUGUUAAAUGUAUACGCAAGAUAGAAUUGAAAUGUUGUUCUGUCUGCUCUAAUAAAAUGACCUUAUAAAUUUAAACUGUUGUACGUCACAUUUAUAAACAUUUACCUGACAUAUCUUUCUGCUGUUGCAGUUGCCAGUCUUGACAUCAAAAUUUUGUCUGCUGACCAUCGCCAGCCAUCUCUUCUGUCUCUUCUUUUCUUUUGGGAACCCAUACAUUCGAUGGCCCCUCUCUGAGCGGUUGGUGCACCCAAAUGCUGCACAGCCAACCAUCACUGGUCUCACUGUACAAUGGUAAACGUAAAAAUAAUUAGCUGUCAAGCCUCAGAUGCUG
This is a non-coding RNA of Xyrichtys novacula (pearly razorfish), 1218 nucleotides long. Lineage: Eukaryota; Metazoa; Chordata; Actinopteri; Labriformes; Labridae. The record is from the annotation of a GenBank genome assembly.